ACUGGGCUCCCGCCCUGCGUGCUAGCGAGGCAGGCAUUGGCAGAACGGACUCGGGGCUGUCCUUCGUGGCCCGGACCCCGCGAGGCCUGUCCUUCCACCUCUGUGGGGACCAAGAGGGCAAGGAUCGUGCCAGGCUCACCGUGGGCGCUCAGUAAGCGGCCGUGCAGAGGACGGUUGAGGGCUUUGUGCAGAGGAAAUGAGAGACUGCUCUGAAGCAAGGCCCGCCUAGUGAGCUGCUAGGAAAAUGGAAGUCUGGGAUUAAUCGUCUCUACAAGGAGGGUGCGUGGGAGGCACCAAAGCAGGCGGUCACAGCUCCCGCAAAGGCAGCCGGCUCUCCUUCCCCGCCUGACGCUCAGGGACUACUCGCACAGACUGGGCUACUUCCUUCUUCAUUCAUUCAUCAAGUAUUUAUUGAGAAACUGCUAAGUGCCAAAUGCUUUGUUCUGGGCAUUGUAGGGGCAGAAAGGUGUGAUAUUUUCCCUUACUCAUCCCAAAGGUCACAGCGGACACUCCUACAAAUAAAAUAUAGGUUAGCAAGAGAAAAGCAUAAUAGAUUGAUUUACUCAAUGUUUUAUGUGACUUGAGAGCCUUCAGGAAUGAAGACACAAAUACUCAGGGAAAUCUUUAUUUUUAUGUCUCGGUUUGAUGAAGAAUGGACAGCCCUGGCCGGGUCUGGUGGCUCAUGCCUGUAAUCCCAGCACUUUGGAAGGCUGAGGCAGGGGGAUCGCUUGAGGCCAGACAUUUAAGGACAGUCUGGGCAACAUAGUGAGACCCUGUCUCUACAAAAAAUUAAAAAGCCAGGCAGGUGCCUGUGGUCCCAGCUACUCGGGAGGCUGAGGUGGGAGGAUUGCUUGAGUCCAGGAGGUCGAGGUUGCAGUGAGCUGUGAUUGUGUCACUGUACUCCAGCCCGGGCAACAGAAAAAAAAAAAAAGGAAUAAGGAAUGGACAACUGUGUAUAAACGCGAUUAGACAAAAGGGAAUGAUUUAAUGUUAAUAGCUGAGUGUGGAAACCCAGCAAUGUCUGUUCAGAUUCGGAUUCUUCUUGUUCUCUCUGUGUGGCAUUCCCUCCUGCUGGGAGGAGGGCAGGACCCCUUCUGGAAUGAGAGUCUUAUGACCUAGUAUCAGGCAAGGUAGAUCAGAGAAUUCCUUUAUGGCCAGGC
Molecule: long non-coding RNA, 1160 nt
Filed under: Homo sapiens (human)
Lineage: Eukaryota; Metazoa; Chordata; Mammalia; Primates; Hominidae
Description: HSALNT0406199
Source: RNAcentral